Pelobates cultripes (western spadefoot toad) is the source of this 310-nucleotide non-coding RNA. Lineage: Eukaryota; Metazoa; Chordata; Amphibia; Anura; Pelobatidae. The record is from the annotation of a GenBank genome assembly.
CUGAAUUUGGUCAUUUUCAUCUGAUUUUUGUCCAUCCAGGCAAACGCUGGUGUUUAGUGAAUAACCCUGUUAGUUUGUUUUUCUAAUGUGAAGGAAAACAUCGUCUGUGGCUGAUCUGUAAACAGUUUUAAGGUUUUAUAGGCAUUUUGUGAUACAGUUAGCUUAUAAAUGUAAGAAGAAAAAAAGGCACACAAGUUGUUUGUAGCUAAAUAUUGACAAAUUGUCCUUACCACACACUGGCCGGGUUAAACAUUAAACUAAGAAUUGAUAGAAAUUAAGCAGGGAAUUGGAAAAAUAGCCAAGUCAGAAA